RNAcentral lists this transfer RNA (70 nucleotides) under Planiliza macrolepis (largescale mullet). Its description in RNAcentral is "tRNA-Ile". It matches the Rfam family "tRNA". From Rfam's summary of the family: Transfer RNA (tRNA) molecules are approximately 80 nucleotides in length. Their secondary structure includes four short double-helical elements and three loops (D, anti-codon, and T loops). The record is from RNAcentral. RNAcentral also lists the same sequence under 1 other name. Lineage: Eukaryota; Metazoa; Chordata; Actinopteri; Mugiliformes; Mugilidae.
GGAGCUGUGCCUGAAACAAAGGAUUACUUUGAUAGAGUAAAUAAUGAAGGUUAAAAUCCUUCCAACUCCU